AAAGACAGCUGGGGAUUUGCAGCCCCCAAGCAGGAGGAGGGCUCAGAGGAUGAAAAAUUACUAAGAGGAGACAGCAAGGGUAGGACUCCCACUUAAACUGGGCCAGGUGGCCUAAGACAAGGCCUAGGGACAGGCCCAGUUGAAAAGAGGACUCAGAGGAGCCCGUCUGAAGUUUGGUCGAGGAGAGAGUCUUUAUCACGUGUUACGGGAUCUUGGGAAAACUCCCCUUUCCAGGGAAAAGGGCCCUCAGUCGUUCACGGCUUCCCGCAGCGAAUGAUGGCUGAACGCCUGCUGUGCCAGGCACUGUGUUAGGCCUUGGGGUUACAGCAUGAAGACAGACACGGUCUCACAUUCUCAGGGGAGACAAGCAAUAAGCAAACGGCUAAAAGAGUCAGUGGCACAGAGGGUGCUUCAGAUGGUGACAGGCGUCAUGGAGAAGAAUAAAGGGGAAGGAAGCCUGAAGAGCAGAUCUGGAGUCAGAGCCUGGCCCUGCUACUCAGUAGCUGUGUGACUUUGCACAAGUCACUUAACCUCUCUGAGUGGUAGUUCUUCCAUCUAUCACAUGGGGAGGAUAAUGAUAUGUUCUUUACAGCAAGAUUAAAAAGAUGGACAAGGAAGCUGGCCUUCCCCAAGAAGACUUUGGUGUCGGAAAUUUCUG
This 658-nucleotide long non-coding RNA is filed under the name Equus asinus (donkey). Its description in RNAcentral is "lncRNA (ENSEASG00005036176.1)". Lineage: Eukaryota; Metazoa; Chordata; Mammalia; Perissodactyla; Equidae. The record is from RNAcentral.